Molecule: ribosomal RNA, 508 nt
Filed under: uncultured bacterium
Lineage: Bacteria
Description: bacterial SSU rRNA
Rfam family: Bacterial small subunit ribosomal RNA
Source: RNAcentral
CUGGCUCAGGAUGAACGCUAGCGGCAGGCCUAACACAUGCAAGGUCGAGGGGUAACAGGCGGUAGCAAUACUGCGCUGACGACCGGCGCACGGGUGCGUAACGCGUAUGCAACCUGCCCGUAACAGGGGGAUAAAUCAGGGAAACUUGACCUAAUACCCCAUAUUGCCAAUCCACCGCAUGAUGGGUUGGCGAAAGUUUCGAUGGUUACGGAUGGGCAUGCGUGACAUUAGCUAGUUGGUAAGGUAACGGCUUACCAAGGCGACGAUGUCUAGGGGAGCUGAGAGGCUAAUCCCCCACACUGGUACUGAGACACGGACCAGACUCCUACGGGAGGCAGCAGUGAGGAAUAUUGGUCAAUGGUGGGAACACUGAACCAGCCAUGCCGCGUGAGGGAAGGAAGGCCCUAUGGGUUGUAAACCUCUUUUGCACGGGAGUAAUAAGGCUCAUGCGUGGGCCGAUGAGAGUACCGUGCGAAUAAGCAUCGGCUAACUCCGUGCCAGCCGCCGC